CGAACGCUGGCGGCGUGCUUAACACAUGCAAGUCGAACGGAAAGGCCCUGCUUUUGUGGGGUGCUCGAGUGGCGAACGGGUGAGUAACACGUGAGUAACCUGCCCUUGACUUUGGGAUAACUUCAGGAAACUGGGGCUAAUACCGGAUAGGAGCUCCUGCUGCAUGGUGGGGGUUGGAAAGUUUCGGCGGUUGGGGAUGGACUCGCGGCUUAUCAGCUUGUUGGUGGGGUAGUGGCUUACCAAGGCUUUGACGGGUAGCCGGCCUGAGAGGGUGACCGGGCACAUUGGGACUGAGAUACGGCCCAGACUCCUACGGGAGGCAGCAGUGGGGAAUAUUGCACAAUGGGCGGAAGCCUGAUGCAGCAACGCCGCGUGCGGGAUGACGGCCUUCGGGCUGUAAACCGCUUUCGCCUGUGACGAAGCGUGAGUGACGGUAAUGGGUAAAGAAGCACCGGCUAACUACGUG
RNAcentral lists this ribosomal RNA (466 nucleotides) under uncultured bacterium. Its description in RNAcentral is "partial 16S ribosomal RNA". It matches the Rfam family "Bacterial small subunit ribosomal RNA", at positions 30 to 507 of the family's 1533-position model. The record is from RNAcentral.